RNAcentral lists this ribosomal RNA (292 nucleotides) under uncultured prokaryote. Its description in RNAcentral is "partial 16S ribosomal RNA". It matches the Rfam family "Bacterial small subunit ribosomal RNA", at positions 505 to 796 of the family's 1533-position model. The record is from RNAcentral.
GUGUCAGCAGCCGCGGUAAUACGGAGGGUGCGAGCGUUAAUCGGAAUUACUGGGCGUAAAGCGCGUGCAGGUGGUCUGUUAAGUCAGAUGUGAAAGCCCCGGGCUCAACCUGGGAAUUGCAUUUGAAACUGGCAGGCUAGAGUACUGUAGAGGGGGGUAGAAUUUCAGGUGUAGCGGUGAAAUGCGUAGAGAUCUGAAGGAAUACCAGUGGCGAAGGCGGCCCCCUGGACAGAUACUGACACUCAGAUGCGAAAGCGUGGGGAGCAAACAGGAUUAGAUACCCCCGUAGUCC